CACAACAUAUAAACAGCAGAUUUAUCGAAUACAAUAGAAGAUUAGUCUCCGAAUACAAUUCAUCAUAUUAGUCUCCGAAUUUAAAAUACCGAACAAAGUUAGAACAUUACAAGUCUCAAGACCGCGAGUAGCGAGUUUGUCUUCACAUUACAAGUCGAUAUCGAUCAUCUAAACUACCAUCACAUAGAAGAGAGCCGCGGUCAUCACGAUGAGCAUAAUCGCGAUGAAACUGGUC
Molecule: long non-coding RNA, 235 nt
Filed under: Hordeum vulgare
Lineage: Eukaryota; Viridiplantae; Streptophyta; Magnoliopsida; Poales; Poaceae
Description: long non-coding RNA (HVUL_LNC009270)
Source: RNAcentral